Molecule: non-coding RNA, 72 nt
Organism: Pangasianodon gigas (Mekong giant catfish)
Lineage: Eukaryota; Metazoa; Chordata; Actinopteri; Siluriformes; Pangasiidae
Source: the annotation of a GenBank genome assembly
UCCCUGGAGGACUAGUGGUUAGGCCUCAGCAGUCUCACUGCACCGGCCUGGGUUUGAUUCCCAGCCAGGGCU